UCUGAAUCGCAGCUUGUGGGAACUUCCAUCUUCAUUGUGCCAUGUGGGAUCCUUAGUUGCAGGAUCUUUUCUUUAAAAAAGAGUCUUUUAAAAAAACAGAAAGAAAGAAAGAUCCUUGCACCACCUGGGCGCAACUCACUCUGGGGACAGUGCUGGGUGGGGAGUCUGACUCAGACAAUACACCUGUCAAACAGUAACACAGGUAUUCUAAGGCGAGCUCGGGGGAGACAGAAACCUCCCGUGGAGCAGAAGGGCAAGAGCUCACUUGAUCUUGAUUUUCAGUACGGAUACAGACCUUGAAAGCAGACCCUUUUUUAAAUAAAUAAAAAGCUG
Molecule: non-coding RNA, 333 nt
Filed under: Ovis aries (sheep)
Lineage: Eukaryota; Metazoa; Chordata; Mammalia; Artiodactyla; Bovidae
Description: Eukaryotic large subunit ribosomal RNA
Rfam family: Eukaryotic large subunit ribosomal RNA
Source: Rfam by way of RNAcentral